Molecule: ribosomal RNA, 468 nt
Filed under: uncultured bacterium
Lineage: Bacteria
Description: partial 16S ribosomal RNA
Rfam family: Bacterial small subunit ribosomal RNA
Source: RNAcentral
GACGAACGCUGGCGGCGUGCUUAACACAUGCAAGUCGAACGGAAAGGCCCUGCUUUUGUGGGGUGCUCGAGUGGCGAACGGGUGAGUAACACGUGAGUAACCUGCCCUUGACUUUGGGAUAACUUCAGGAAACUGUGGCUAAUACCGGAUAGGAGCUCCUGCUGCAUGGUGGGGGUUGGAAAGUUUCGGCGGUUGGGGAUGGACUCGCGGCUUAUCAGCUUGUUGGUGGGGUGGUGGCUUACCAAGGCUUUGACGGGUAGCCGGCCUGAGAGGGUGACCGGCCACAGUGGGACUGAGAUACGGCCCAGACUCCUGCGGGAGACAGCAGUGGGGAAUAUUGCACAAUGGGCGGAAGCCUGAUGCAGCAACGCCGCGUGCGGGAUGACGGCCUUCGGGUUUUAAGCCGCUUUCGCCUGUGACGAAGCGUGAGUGACGGUAAUGGGUAAAGAAGCACCGGCUAACUACGUG